This 168-nucleotide ribosomal RNA is filed under the name Opercularia hirsuta. Its description in RNAcentral is "5.8S ribosomal RNA". It matches the Rfam family "5.8S ribosomal RNA". From Rfam's summary of the family: 5.8S ribosomal RNA (5.8S rRNA) is a component of the large subunit of the eukaryotic ribosome. The record is from RNAcentral. Lineage: Eukaryota; Viridiplantae; Streptophyta; Magnoliopsida; Gentianales; Rubiaceae.
AACCAAUACGACUCUCGGCAACGGAUAUCUAGGCUCUCGCAUCGAUGAAGAACGUAGCGAAAUGCGAUACUUGGUGUGAAUUGCAGAAUCCCGUGAACCAUCGAGUUUUUGAACGCAAGUUGCGCCCGAAGCCAGAUGGCUGAGGGCACGUCUGCCUGGGCGUCACGC